AUUGAACGCUGGCGGCAUGCUUUACACAUGCAAGUCGAACGGUAACAGGUUAAGCUGACGAGUGGCGAACGGGUGAGUAAUGCAUCGGAACGUGCCCGAUCGUGGGGGAUAACGCAGCGAAAGCUGCGCUAAUACCGCAUACGAUCUGAGGAUGAAAGCGGGGGACCGUAAGGCCUCGCGCGAUCGGAGCGGCCGAUGUCAGAUUAGGUAGUUGGUGGGGUAAAGGCUCACCAAGCCGACGAUCUGUAGAUGGUCUGAGAGGACGACCAGCCACACUGGGACUGAGACACGGCCCAGACUCCUACGGGAGGCAGCAGUGGGGAAUUUUGGACAAUGGGCGCAAGCCUGAUGCAGCCAUGCCGCGUGUAUGAAGAAGGCCUUCGGGUUGUAAAGUACUUUCAGCGGGGGGGAAGGCGGUGAAGUUAAUAACUUCACCGAUUGACGUUACUCGCAGAAUAAGCACCGGCUAACUCUGUGCCAGCCGCCGCCGUAA
This 493-nucleotide ribosomal RNA is filed under the name uncultured bacterium. RNAcentral's name for it is "partial 16S ribosomal RNA". It matches the Rfam family "Bacterial small subunit ribosomal RNA", at positions 30 to 523 of the family's 1533-position model. The record is from RNAcentral.